CUCAACUCUCGAAUUGAAGAGGCACAUCACAGCAUAGAAAAGCUCAAUAUAAGACUCAUAGCUCAAAUGUGAUAUCUGUAUCCACAGAAUGUUUGGCAUUACUCAGUACAAGCAUUGUGAUUUCGACAUUUGAGUAUGCCAGAGGACGCUUUGGCAAUACACGGAGGAGAAAGCAUGUUUGGAAUGUUGGAGAUCCAGGGCAACUCCAGACGUCCAAAACUUCAGCUUGUGAAGAGGAGGAACAAAGAGACCCUGGUUCCUAUCAUCAAGAAUCAUGUGAAGCGUCAGACUAUGAAACAACAGUGACAGCACCGUCAACAAAAACGGAAGGGAUCUUUUGCAGCUCUGUAGAAGCCUGGGUCUGUACUUUGUCAAUGGUAAGUUACGGAGGGACUCUUUGGGGAAAUUCACUUACUGCUCACCUCUUGGCCACAGUACAGUACACUAUAUGAUCACAGACAUUGACCCUUUCUCUCUCAGCUCAUUCACUGUCAAGCCACUAACACCUCUGUCUGAUCACAGCCAAAUUACGUUGUUCCUCAAAAGAACAGACAUGGAAACAACCACACAUUCA
This 574-nucleotide long non-coding RNA is filed under the name Salmo salar (Atlantic salmon). RNAcentral's name for it is "lncRNA (ENSSSAG00000110270.1)". Lineage: Eukaryota; Metazoa; Chordata; Actinopteri; Salmoniformes; Salmonidae. The record is from RNAcentral.